This 2904-nucleotide ribosomal RNA is filed under the name Pseudomonas syringae Cit 7. RNAcentral's name for it is "bacterial LSU rRNA". It matches the Rfam family "Bacterial large subunit ribosomal RNA". Lineage: Bacteria; Pseudomonadati; Pseudomonadota; Gammaproteobacteria; Pseudomonadales; Pseudomonadaceae. The record is from RNAcentral.
GGUCAAGUGAAGAAGCGCAUACGGUGGAUGCCUUGGCAGUCAGAGGCGAUGAAAGACGUGGUAGCCUGCGAAAAGCUUCGGGGAGUCGGCAAACAGACUGUGAUCCGGAGGUAUCUGAAUGGGGGAACCCAGCCAUCAUAAGAUGGUUAUCUUGUACUGAAUACAUAGGUGCAAGAGGCGAACCAGGGGAACUGAAACAUCUAAGUACCCUGAGGAAAAGAAAUCAACCGAGAUUCCCUUAGUAGUGGCGAGCGAACGGGGACCAGCCCUUAAGUUGUAUUGAGAUUAGCGGAACACUCUGGAAAGGGUGGCCAUAGUGGGUGAUAGCCCUGUACGCGAAAAUCCCUUUGCAAUGAAAUCGAGUAGGACGGGGCACGAGAAACCUUGUCUGAAUAUGGGGGGACCAUCCUCCAAGGCUAAAUACUACUGACUGACCGAUAGUGAACCAGUACCGUGAGGGAAAGGCGAAAAGAACCGCGGAGAGCGGAGUGAAAUAGAUCCUGAAACCGUAUGCGUACAAGCAGUGGGAGCCCACUUUGUUGGGUGACUGCGUACCUUUUGUAUAAUGGGUCAGCGACUUAUUUUCAGUGGCGAGCUUAACCGAAUAGGGGAGGCGUAGCGAAAGCGAGUCUUAAUAGGGCGUCUAGUCGCUGGGAAUAGACCCGAAACCGGGCGAUCUAUCCAUGGGCAGGUUGAAGGUUGGGUAACACUAACUGGAGGACCGAACCGACUACCGUUGAAAAGUUAGCGGAUGACCUGUGGAUCGGAGUGAAAGGCUAAUCAAGCUCGGAGAUAGCUGGUUCUCCUCGAAAGCUAUUUAGGUAGCGCCUCAUGUAUCACUGUAGGGGGUAGAGCACUGUUUCGGCUAGGGGGUCAUCCCGACUUACCAAACCGAUGCAAACUCCGAAUACCUACAAGUGCCGAGCAUGGGAGACACACGGCGGGUGCUAACGUCCGUCGUGAAAAGGGAAACAACCCAGACCGUCAGCUAAGGUCCCAAAGUCAUGGUUAAGUGGGAAACGAUGUGGGAAGGCUUAGACAGCUAGGAGGUUGGCUUAGAAGCAGCCACCCUUUAAAGAAAGCGUAAUAGCUCACUAGUCGAGUCGGCCUGCGCGGAAGAUGUAACGGGGCUCAAACCAUGCACCGAAGCUACGGGUAUCAUCUUUUGAUGAUGCGGUAGAGGAGCGUUCUGUAAGCCUGUGAAGGUGAGUUGAGAAGCUUGCUGGAGGUAUCAGAAGUGCGAAUGCUGACAUGAGUAACGACAAUGGGUGUGAAAAACACCCACGCCGAAAGACCAAGGUUUCCUGCGCAACGUUAAUCGACGCAGGGUUAGUCGGUCCCUAAGGCGAGGCUGAAAAGCGUAGUCGAUGGAAAACAGGUUAAUAUUCCUGUACUUCUGGUUAUUGCGAUGGAGGGACGGAGAAGGCUAGGCCAGCCUGGCGUUGGUUGUCCAGGUUUAAGGUGGUAGGCUGAGAUCUUAGGUAAAUCCGGGAUCUUAAGGCCGAGAGCUGAUGACGAGUGUUCUUUUAGAACACGAAGUGGUUGAUGCCAUGCUUCCAAGAAAAGCUUCUAAGCUUCAGGUAACCAGGAACCGUACCCCAAACCGACACAGGUGGUUGGGUAGAGAAUACCAAGGCGCUUGAGAGAACUCGGGUGAAGGAACUAGGCAAAAUGGCACCGUAACUUCGGGAGAAGGUGCGCCGGUGAGGGUUAAGCAUUUACUGCGUAAGCCCAUGCCGGUCGAAGAUACCAGGCCGCUGCGACUGUUUAUUAAAAACACAGCACUCUGCAAACACGAAAGUGGACGUAUAGGGUGUGACGCCUGCCCGGUGCCGGAAGGUUAAUUGAUGGGGUUAGCGCAAGCGAAGCUCUUGAUCGAAGCCCCGGUAAACGGCGGCCGUAACUAUAACGGUCCUAAGGUAGCGAAAUUCCUUGUCGGGUAAGUUCCGACCUGCACGAAUGGCGUAACGAUGGCGGCGCUGUCUCCACCCGAGACUCAGUGAAAUUGAAAUCGCUGUGAAGAUGCAGUGUAUCCGCGGCUAGACGGAAAGACCCCGUGAACCUUUACUAUAGCUUUGCACUGGACUUUGAAUUUGCUUGUGUAGGAUAGGUGGGAGGCUUUGAAGCGUGGACGCCAGUCUGCGUGGAGCCAACCUUGAAAUACCACCCUGGCAACUUUGAGGUUCUAACUCAGGUCCGUUAUCCGGAUCGAGGACAGUGUAUGGUGGGUAGUUUGACUGGGGCGGUCUCCUCCUAAAGAGUAACGGAGGAGUACGAAGGUGCGCUCAGACCGGUCGGAAAUCGGUCGUAGAGUAUAAAGGCAAAAGCGCGCUUGACUGCGAGACAGACACGUCGAGCAGGUACGAAAGUAGGUCUUAGUGAUCCGGUGGUUCUGUAUGGAAGGGCCAUCGCUCAACGGAUAAAAGGUACUCCGGGGAUAACAGGCUGAUACCGCCCAAGAGUUCAUAUCGACGGCGGUGUUUGGCACCUCGAUGUCGGCUCAUCACAUCCUGGGGCUGAAGCCGGUCCCAAGGGUAUGGCUGUUCGCCAUUUAAAGUGGUACGCGAGCUGGGUUUAGAACGUCGUGAGACAGUUCGGUCCCUAUCUGCCGUGGACGUUUGAGAUUUGAGAGGGGCUGCUCCUAGUACGAGAGGACCGGAGUGGACGAACCUCUGGUGUUCCGGUUGUCACGCCAGUGGCAUUGCCGGGUAGCUAUGUUCGGAAAAGAUAACCGCUGAAAGCAUCUAAGCGGGAAACUUGCCUCAAGAUGAGAUCUCACUGGAACCUUGAGUUCCCUAAAGGGCCGUCGAAGACUACGACGUUGAUAGGUUGGGUGUGUAAGCGCUGUGAGGCGUUGAGCUAACCAAUACUAAUUGCCCGUGAGGCUUGACCAUAUAACACCCA